This 71-nucleotide transfer RNA is filed under the name Glutamicibacter mishrai. Its description in RNAcentral is "tRNA-Cys". It matches the Rfam family "tRNA". Rfam says of the family: Transfer RNA (tRNA) molecules are approximately 80 nucleotides in length. Their secondary structure includes four short double-helical elements and three loops (D, anti-codon, and T loops). Lineage: Bacteria; Bacillati; Actinomycetota; Actinomycetes; Micrococcales; Micrococcaceae. The record is from RNAcentral.
GGUUAUUUGACCGAACGGCAAGGUACUGGACUGCAAAUCCAGUCAAUCGGGUUCGACUCCCGAAAUAACCU